This 82-nucleotide ribosomal RNA is filed under the name Oceanisphaera pacifica. RNAcentral describes it as "Oceanisphaera sp. DM8 partial 16S ribosomal RNA". It matches the Rfam family "Bacterial small subunit ribosomal RNA", at positions 1452 to 1533 of the family's 1533-position model. The record is from RNAcentral. Lineage: Bacteria; Pseudomonadati; Pseudomonadota; Gammaproteobacteria; Aeromonadales; Aeromonadaceae.
GAUUACCACGGUGUGAUUCAUGACUGGGGUGAAGUCGUAACAAGGUAGCCCUAGGGGAACCUGGGGCUGGAUCACCUCCUUA